UUUAUGGAGAGUUUGAUCCUGGCUCAGGAUGAACGCUGGCGGCGUGCCUAAUACAUGCAAGUCGAGCGAACGGACGAGAAGCUUGCUUCUCUGAUGUUAGCGGCGGACGGGUGAGUAACACGUGGAUAACCUACCUAUAAGACUGGGAUAACUUCGGGAAACCGUAGCUAAUACCGGAUAAUAUUUUGAACCGCAUGGUUCAAAAGUGAAAGACGGUCUUGCUGUCACUUAUAGAUGGAUCCGCGCUGCAUUAGCUAGUUGGUAAGGUAACGGCUUACCAAGGCAACGAUGCAUAGCCGACCUGAGAGGGUGAUCGGCCACACUGGAACUGAGACACGGUCCAGACUCCUACGGGAGGCAGCAGUAGGG
This 369-nucleotide ribosomal RNA is filed under the name Staphylococcus aureus. RNAcentral describes it as "bacterial SSU rRNA". It matches the Rfam family "Bacterial small subunit ribosomal RNA", at positions 1 to 359 of the family's 1533-position model. Lineage: Bacteria; Bacillati; Bacillota; Bacilli; Caryophanales; Staphylococcaceae. The record is from RNAcentral.